GACAGAGGGUGCAACCGUUGCUCGGAAUUACUGGGCGUAAAGCGCGUGUAGGCGGACCAGCAAGUCGGACGUGAAAUCCCUGAGCUCAACUCAGGAACUGCAUCCGAAACUGCUGGUCUGGAGUGGUGGAGAGGGAAGCAGAAUUCCUGGUGUAGAGGUGAAAUUCGUAGAUAUCAGGAGGAACACCGGUGGCGAAGGCGGCCACCUGGACUGUACCUGACGCUAACACGCGAAAGCUAGGGGAGCGAACGGG
This 253-nucleotide ribosomal RNA is filed under the name uncultured bacterium. RNAcentral describes it as "partial 16S ribosomal RNA". It matches the Rfam family "Bacterial small subunit ribosomal RNA", at positions 524 to 776 of the family's 1533-position model. The record is from RNAcentral.